AUCAACUGAGUCAAACACUUUUACUUACUGUGAGCAAGCAAUUCAUAAUAUUAUGAUCAUGAACAAACAAACACCAUACAAUAAGAGCUAGCGAAGCCCAAAUGUAAUAAAACUUACGAGUUAAUUUAUCCUACAGUAAGUCCAAACUCAUGGAAAUUAAAAAAGAACAAAAAUGAGAAAUUAAAAAAAUCCCAAACACAAAAAAAAUAAGGAAAAGAAAACCCAACAACUAUCAGACUCAUAAGCCAAAUAACCAAUCUAGUCGAGCCAACUAAAACUAAAUUAAACCCCCAAACAAAGCACACAUCUUACACAUCAAUAACUAUCUGCUCAUCUUAUUUUUCAGUUCAUAUUGUGAUUCACAAUGUGGAAAGUGAAAAAGAAAAAGGUUUGCAC
This 396-nucleotide long non-coding RNA is filed under the name Prunus persica (peach). Its description in RNAcentral is "long non-coding RNA (PPER_LNC002149)". Lineage: Eukaryota; Viridiplantae; Streptophyta; Magnoliopsida; Rosales; Rosaceae. The record is from RNAcentral.